GUCCUACGGGGGGCAGCAGUGGGGAAUAUUGCACAAUGGGGGGAACCCUGAUGCAGCGACGCCGCGUGGGUGAAGGAGUACUUCGGUACGUAAAGCCCUAUCAGCAGGAAAGAAAAUGACGGUACCUGACUAAGAAGCCCCGGCUAACUACGUGCCAGCAGCCGCGGUAAUACGUAGGGGGCAAGCGUUAUCCGGAUUUACUGGGUGUAAAGGGGGCGCAGACGGCAGCGCAAGCCAGGAGUGAAAGCCCGGGGCCCAACCCCGGGACUGCUCUUGGAACUGCGCGGCUGGAGUGCAGUAGGGGC
This 305-nucleotide ribosomal RNA is filed under the name uncultured bacterium. RNAcentral's name for it is "bacterial SSU rRNA". It matches the Rfam family "Bacterial small subunit ribosomal RNA", at positions 335 to 658 of the family's 1533-position model. The record is from RNAcentral.